GACGAGGCACUACGGUGCUGAAGCAACAAAUGCCCUGCUUCCAGGAAAAGCCUCUAAGCCUCAGGUAACAUCAAAUCGUACCCCAAACCGACACAGGUGGUCAGGUAGAGAAUACCAAGGCGCUUGAGAGAACUCGGGUGAAGGAACUAGGCAAAAUGGUGCCGUAACUUCGGGAGAAGGCACGCUGACACGUAGGUGAAGUGGUUUACCCAUGGAGCUGAAGUCAGUCGAAGAUACCAGCUGGCUGCAACUGUUUAUUAAAAACACAGCACUGUGCAAACACGAAAGUGGACGUAUACGGUGUGACGCCUGCCCGGUGCCGGAAGGUUAAUUGAUGGGGUCAGCGCAAGCGAAGCUCCUGAUCGAAGCCCCGGUAAACGGCGGCCGUAACUAUAACGGUCCUAAGGUAGCGAAAUUCCUUGUCGGGUAAGUUCCGACCUGCACGAAUGGCGUAAUGAUGGCCAGGCUGUCUCCACCCGGGACUCAGUGAAAUUGAACUCGCUGUGAAGAUGCAGUGUACCCGCGGCAAGACGGAAAGACCCCGUGAACCUUUACUAUAGCUUGACACUGAACACUGGUCCUUGAUGUGCAGGAUAGGUGGGAGGCUUUGAAGUGUGGACGCCAGUCUGCAUGGAGCCAUCCUUGAAAUACCACCCUUUAAUGGCUGGUGUUCUAACGUGGGCCCCUGACCGGGGUUGCGGACAGUGUCUGGUGGGUAGUUUGACUGGGGCGGUCUCCUCCUAAAGAGUAACGGAGGAGCACGAAGGUUGGCUAAUCCUGGUCGGACAUCAGGAGGUUAGUGCAAUGGCAUAAGCCAGCUUGACUGCGAGCGUGACGGCGCGAGCAGGUGCGAAAGCAGGUCAUAGUGAUCCGGUGGUUCUGAAUGGAAGGGCCAUCGCUCAACGGAUAAAAGGUACUCCGGGGAUAACAGGCUGAUACCGCCCAAGAGUUCAUAUCGACGGCGGUGUUUGGCACCUCGAUGUCGGCUCAUCACAUCCUGGGGCUGAAGUAGGUCCCAAGGGUAUGGCUGUUCGCCAUUUAAAGUGGUACGCGAGCUGGGUUUAGAACGUCGUGAGACAGUUCGGUCCCUAUCUGCCGUGGGCGCUGGAAGAUUGAGGGGGGCUGCUCCUAGUACGAGAGGACCGGAGUGGACGCAUCACUGGUGUUCGGGUUGUCAUGCCAAUGGCACUGCCCGGUAGCUACAUGCGGAAGAGAUAAGUGCUGAAAGCAUCUAAGCACGAAACUUGCCCCGAGAUGAAUCUUCCCUGAGCCUUUAAGGCUCCUGAAGGAACGUUGAAGACGACGACGUUGAUAGGCCGGGUGUGUAAGCGCAGCGAUGCGUUGAGCUAACCGGUACUAAUGAACCGUGAGGCUUAACCUUACAAC
RNAcentral lists this ribosomal RNA (1386 nucleotides) under Salmonella enterica. RNAcentral's name for it is "partial 23S ribosomal RNA". It matches the Rfam family "Bacterial large subunit ribosomal RNA", at positions 1568 to 2925 of the family's 2925-position model. Lineage: Bacteria; Pseudomonadati; Pseudomonadota; Gammaproteobacteria; Enterobacterales; Enterobacteriaceae. The record is from RNAcentral.